AUCUUUUUAGUAUAUAAAAUAUAUUUGACUUCCAAUCAAAAGAUCUUUAAAUAAAGAAAAGAUA
RNAcentral lists this transfer RNA (64 nucleotides) under Eurydema liturifera. RNAcentral describes it as "tRNA-Gly". Lineage: Eukaryota; Metazoa; Arthropoda; Insecta; Hemiptera; Pentatomidae. The record is from RNAcentral.